CCAUUAUUACCGGUAGUCUGUUUGACGUAAGCGUUGUUUUUAAAUUCUGCAAUUAUUGAUCCUCGUAUAGCUAGUAGGAUGAACUUAGGAUAUAACACAGGGCUGGUGUACAUAGAACUUACAUAUACAUGUAUUAUGUUUCCACAUUUUGUGCUAUGCAAAACCGGACAGUCUUCAUUGAGACAAGAUAUAUGCAUACAAGUAUUUGCCUACAAUUUAAGUCUUGAUUUCUCUCUAAUAAGGCCAUGACAAGCUGUAAACAUAGGUGUCUCAUUCAUAUACGCCAAGAUUGGUUUGGUAUUAAUAUGGUUAAAGUACAAGUUGCAUGUAUUAAUAGAUUGUCCAGGAUUCAGGAGUUAUCUUUCCUUGACCAAAAUAUCUCAUAUAUGUCUCAAAAAGGCUUUUACUGAAAAUAAAGGAAAAUCUAGGUGACACAGACUGUUCUGAAAAUAAUCUUUUGAUCAGAAACACUUUUUAACAUUUCAUGGCCAGAUGCUUCACUGCGGUGGUCUAUAGUGUUUUCCUAGAAAUAGUUGAAAUAUCCAAUGUUUUCCUGCAGUUGUGAUAAAGAGUUUUAGUAGCAGAGAGGUAGUUCAUAUGUGGAUGAAUCUGUUCAUUGUAGAUAUGCAUGAACCCUAUUGUCACUUGUGAACAUAUACUCAUGGAAACAAAUAAGGGAACACACGAAAGUACAAGUGAUCCUUUAUUCUUUUCCAGGUUUCUUCACAAGGUAUGUAUAGCACUGUGAGUGACAUUCUGGAAAUAAGGAAGGAACACUUGUACUUUCAUGUGUUCCCUUAUUUGUUUCUAUGAGUAUAUAUGUAUUAAUAUGUGUAAGACUGGCAUCUGUAAUGAUUCACUGGGGUCUUUGUCCAUAGUAUGGAUAUAACAUGCUACUUUCAAUGUUACAAGAACAGGUUAUGAUCGUGAUAGUCAUAAUUGAUGCACCAGUAUCACUUGGUGUAAGACUUGCCAGGAACAUGUGAUCGUGGGUUUGAAUUCCAUACUGUUUCUAAGUCUGUCUGUCUGUCUGUCUGCUUCUUAAAAUGUUCAUGGCCAGCUCCAAGUAGUCAGCAUGUAAGACGUGCAUGUCGUGAGGAUUUCCUCAUGCAUCAGGCUGUGUGGUGGCUGAAGUACAGGGUGACGUUCAACCCAUUUCACUCCAAGAACAUACUGAUGUAUAAACAACACAAAACCUCAAGAAUAACUAACAGCAUCACUUGACUUUGAAUGACGAUAUCUCAAAUGACUCUGACACUGAGAUGGUACAUUUCAGACGAAAUCGAAAUCGGCUUCAUACCCAUCAUAGAUCUCAGUCUUACAUCUAUAUGCAUGUUCCCAGUUUCUCAACCAACCUUUGUACAUCAUAACUGCCAAACUUGCCUUCUUCAAACACUGUAACAAAGACCAUGUACUCAGUGUUCCAAGACUGGAAGCCAGGGGUGCUUGUGAUGAUCCUGGUUGUGAAGACUUGGGGGCUUCUCAGAUUCCAUAGCAGCCUAGCCACAGGACCCCUGGACUCCCAUUAAUUAUAAACACUGUAAUGCCAAAUAAUGUAUUCUGUAUUCUGUGUCUGUGUAUUGGCUCCUACUGUCUGGCUGAAUUUGAAUCGGCAGUUCAUCAAUUUUGUAUGUCUCCUCCCUGAUUGUAUGACAGACUCAAAUUCUGAAGACUUGGAAAAGUUCUUCAGAUGCUUGUAACUCCUGAAAAUAUUUGUUGAUGGAUUUGGACUCGACAUCAGUUUUGUUUUACACUCCAGGUUCUAUCAUGGAACAAUUGAUUCCCAUGCAUACCUGGCCGCACUGGUGUAAGUUCAAACCCCUAUUUCACCUACACUGAGCACGAAACUGAAAGGUUGCUGAAUUUUGAUCCAUAAACCACAUUUGAGAUACCUUUGGAAUGUGUCCUCGGAACCAAACUGAUGUUUAUUGCCUGCAGGUUCAGAAAGUUCUGUGAAGUUUGAAGGAAAUGAGUACACUGGUUGCCUAGUUACAACCUCACAUCAAUAUGUCAGAUCUCUUAGCAAAGUUUGUAAAUAUUUGUAAAGUAUUUUUGUCCACCACAGAAAUUAGAGUCUCUGCUAAUAGUCUAGAUUGUACUGUAUAGUCUUGAAUAGACAAGUGAAAAGACUUCACAUCUAGGCUUCAACAAAAGAAUAUUAUUCCUGAGAAUACACUUGAAACAUAAUUUACCAAGAAAAUGAAAAGAAACAGGCAGCGUCCAUCCUAAAUGCAGUGUGUAGUGGUCAGAUAAUCUGUAGAACUUCUACAGAUAUACCAAAUAAAAGUGUUUUGGAUCAUAGACAUAUUGGGGAUAUGAGGUCAUUGCAUUUAGCUUCCUAAAGUCAUAAAAGGUGAUUAGGUGGUUAUAUAGCUGCUGUGAACAUAUGCAGAACAUAUGUUGAUAUUUAUGCAAAUAUUUCUUGUUACAUAUUCAAGAAAAAGAAAAAUUUGAGAAGAAAAAUAAGAAUAAUGAAAAGUUCAUUUGUUCAAACAGUAAGCCUUGAUGUGUUGAUCAUUGAACAAGCUAGAAGUUGGCAGUUCACAGAUUAUUGAACAAGCUAGGAUUGCAGGAUGUGUUGAUCAUUGAACAAGCUAGGAUUGCAGGAUGUGUUGAUCAUUGAACUAGCUAGGAUUGCAGGAUGUGUUGAUCA
Long non-coding RNA from Haliotis rubra (blacklip abalone), 2653 nucleotides. RefSeq lists it as uncharacterized. The transcript is spliced from 4 exons. The record is from RefSeq and is a predicted model, not a curated record. Lineage: Eukaryota; Metazoa; Mollusca; Gastropoda; Lepetellida; Haliotidae.